Molecule: ribosomal RNA, 714 nt
Filed under: uncultured bacterium
Lineage: Bacteria
Description: bacterial SSU rRNA
Rfam family: Bacterial small subunit ribosomal RNA
Source: RNAcentral
AGAGUUUGAUCAUGGCUCAGAUUGAACGCUGGCGGCAGGCCUAACACAUGCAAGUCGAGCGGCAGCGACUUAACUGAACCUUCGGGGAACGUUAAGGGCGGCGAGCGGCGGACGGGUGAGUAAUGCCUGGGAAUAUGCCCUGAUGUGGGGGAUAACUAUUGGAAACGAUAGCUAAUACCGCAUAAUCUCUUCGGAGCAAAGAGGGGGACCUUCGGGCCUCUCGCGUCAGGAUUAGCCCAGGUGGGAUUAGCUUGUUGGUGAGGUAAUGGCUCACCAAGGCAACGAUCCCUAGCUGGUCUGAGGGGAUGAUCAGCCACACUGGAACUGAGACACGGUCCAGACUCCUACGGGAGGCAGCAGUGGGGAAUAUUGCACAAUGGGGGAAACCCUGAUGCAGCCAUGCCGCGUGUGUGAAGAAGGCCUUCGGGUUGUAAAGCACUUUCAGUAGGGAGGAAGGUAGUGUAGUUAACACCUGCAUUAUUUGACGUUACCUACAGAAGAAGCACCGGCUAACUCCGUGCCAGCAGCCGCGGUAAUACGGAGGGUGCGAGCGUUAAUCGGAAUUACUGGGCGUAAAGCGCAUGCAGGCGGCCUGUUAAGUCAGAUGUGAAAGCCCGGGGCUUAACCUCGGAAUUGCAUUUGAAACUGGCAGGCUAGAGUCUUGUAGAGGGGGGUAGAAUUUCAGGUGUAGCGGUGUAAUGCGUAGAGAUCUGA